RNAcentral lists this ribosomal RNA (445 nucleotides) under uncultured bacterium. RNAcentral's name for it is "partial 16S ribosomal RNA". It matches the Rfam family "Bacterial small subunit ribosomal RNA", at positions 331 to 793 of the family's 1533-position model. The record is from RNAcentral.
CCAGACUCCUACGGGAGGCAGCAGUGGGGGAUAUUGCACAAUGGAGGAAACUCUGAUGCAGCGACGCCGCGUGAGGGAAGACGGUCUUCGGAUUGUAAACCUCUGUCUUUGGGGAAGAAAAUGACGGUACCCAAAGAGGAAGCUCCGGCUAACUACGUGCCAGCAGCCGCGGUAAUACGGAGGGUGCAAGCGUUGUCCGGAAUCAUUGGGCGUAAAGAGUUCGUAGGCGGCAUGUAAAGUCAGGUGUUAAAGGCGCAGGCUCAACCUGUGUAUGGCACUUGAUACUUGCAAGCUGGAAUGCGGUAGAGGUAAAGGGAAUUCCUGGUGUAGCGGUGAAAUGCUUAGAUAUCAGGAGGAACAUCGGUGGCGUAAGCGCUUUACUGGGCCGUAAUUGACGCUGAGGAACGAAAGCCAGGGUAGCAAAUGGGAUUAGAUACCCCUGUAA